This 510-nucleotide ribosomal RNA is filed under the name uncultured bacterium. RNAcentral's name for it is "partial 16S ribosomal RNA". It matches the Rfam family "Bacterial small subunit ribosomal RNA", at positions 28 to 507 of the family's 1533-position model. The record is from RNAcentral.
GACGAACGCUGGCGGCGUGCUUAACACAUGCAAGUCGAACGAAGAGCGAUGGAAGCUUGCUUCUAUCACUCUUAGUGGCGAACGGGUGAGUAACGCGUAAUCAACCUGCCCUUCAGAGGGGGACAACAGUUGGAAACGACUGCUAAUACCGCAUACGAUCUAAUCUCGGCAUCGAGGAUAGAUGAAAGGUGGCCUCUACAUGUAAGCUAUCACUGAAGGAGGGGAUUGCGUCUGAUUAGCUAGUUGGAGGGGUAACGGCCCACCAAGGCGAUGAUCAGUAGCCGGUCUGAGAGGAUGAACGGCCACAUUGGGACUGAGACACGGCCCAGACGCCUACGGGAGGCAGCAGUGGGGAAUCUUCCGCAAUGGACGAAAGUCUGACGGAGCAACGCCGCGGGAGGGAUGACGGCCUUCGGGUUGUAAAGCUCGGUUAAUCGGGACGAAAGGCCUUCUUGCGAAUAGUGAGAAGGAUUGACGGUACCGGAAUAGAAAGCCACGGCUAACUACGUG